Molecule: long non-coding RNA, 2025 nt
Organism: Corapipo altera (White-ruffed manakin)
Lineage: Eukaryota; Metazoa; Chordata; Aves; Passeriformes; Pipridae
Exons: 2
Source: RefSeq, a predicted model, not a curated record
CCUUCUGGAGUCCCACUGGAGUACAUGGUCUGCAUUUGGUGGGUGUAUAGAGAAUCAACGUAUGGAAUAUUUUUCUCCUCCAACGUCUUCAUGGAUCUCUCUCUAAACUGUAUGUCGGUGUUUCCCAGCUGCCUUGGUUUCUCAUGCAGAUGAGCCCUGCCAAACGGUUUCCUACUGCACCCUCUUAGGACAAAGGCUCAGUUGUUGUUUUCUGUUGAUAAACUGGACAUUUAACUGCUUCGUUUCCCCCCUACUACAGCAGAAUUAGUCGGGGGCUAUUUGCUCAGGCCCCAAUCCCUGGGAUUGCUGGGACAAUCGCUCAAGAGGUUCCGAUUUAGAAACCAAUGAAUGUCAAGCUGAGCCUCUGAACUAAACUUUCUUUGAGAUGAGCCAGAGUGACCUGCAGCGAGCUGUAAAGAAGAGUGCAAUGAACCCCCCCCCCCUCCCGUUCCCUUCCCCAAAGGAAAAAUAUUUCCCAGACCACUGGGAACCCUCCUGACUUCCUCUCCUGUGAAUUCUGGAUUAGUGUGAUUUGCAUGCUUAAAGUUAAUUCACUAGUGAACGGAGGAGGUGUCUGGGCACUUGAAUAGAUUCAGCUCCUCGCUGCUGAGUGCCAAGGGCCUCCGGUGCAAACCACAGAGUGAGGGAAAGUGAGGACAUGGAGGACAACUGCAGGGGUGAAGGGAGGGAGGAGGGAUUGUACCAUUUGUACUGAAGUGUUUGCAAUUCUGCCCUCCCACAGGCCAUGGCAACUGGACUGAAUGUAAUCUGGCCCUUUUAUUUUCUUGCUUUCAUUCAAGUGAGGCCAUAUAACAAGUGGAGAGCGAGAGGAAGGGGGGAAAUGCAUGAAGUAUACAUAAUAAAGGUGAUACUGCUGAAAACGCUGUUUGCUGUUGAAAAAUGCAAUCAAACUUGGUUUAUUGGGAAUUUGAGUGUGCUCGGUCCUUGGGAGCUUUCUCCUGAAGCCAUUCUUAAAAACAAAGCAAACAAAAAAAAGCCUUGUCUGGUUAUCCCCAGGCCUUGCUCCCUGAUAAGAGCCAUCUCUCAUGACCAAAUUAAAACGUGGGCUCCAUCUUGCAUCUUGCACUUGAUAAGACACGUCCAUCCGCGUGUUGGGAAAGUUCCCAUUUCCAAUUUUUUGGUGCCUGGGAAAAGCCUCUUUUAAAUUGAUGGGGGAGGAAGAAAAAAAAAAAGAAGAAAAGUUUGAAUCAUUGCAUGGAGUCACUGGCCCCGCUGAGGGGGCUUUCUCUCUCCUCUGAAGAACAGACCACGCACAAAGCCAGAUGGUUCCCGUCUGCUGGCUUUAUUCAAUGCACUUCCUCCCACAGACGGGAGCCCUUUUGCCCUCCUUCCACCCCCCUCUUUCAAGCAUCCACCACUGGGCCUUUCUGUUCUGCGGCUGGAAAUAAUCUUUUAUUGCCCAGUUGUUCGGAAGUGACCUUUUGCCCUUGAUUAGAUAGCACCAGGCUCUAUCGCCGGAUUGCUUUUGAGCUGGCAGUUGCUUUUUUGUGUCCGCUGAUCCGGUGUCAGGGAGAACAAUGCAAGGCUUUGCAAAAUUUUAGUCCGGCUAAGGCUCCAUGUGGGAUGGCUGGGGGUAGGGAGGAACUGCGUUGGAUAAAGCAGCCUCGCGGACCAUGAUUAAUUAUAUGAAAACAUUUCCUUUAAUAAACUGCAAAACAAAUCGUGCUUUGGUUUGGUUUUUAUAUUCAUCUCGCGCACUGAUGCGAACCGCUGCGUGCUCCUUUCCAAGCCGUUAGCUCCUCAUUGGAGACAGGGAGCAAAACUGCUCCUUGUUUCUCUUCUAUGGGAUUUUUUGUGCCCAGCUGUGCAGGCAGGUGAGCUGAAAUCUGCCCCAAAACCCUCCAGCUGGUGUUGAGCUGUGAAACCACUGUGUUUCACUGAUGAAGUGGCCAGAGGAGUUAUUUCAGGGAGAUGCUCUCAGGCCCUGGUGGAAAUAACUGAUCCUUUUCCAAAAAGCAGUUUUGAUAGCUUUAGAAACGGGGAAUCUUUCCAGUUACCUGUAGA